GUGCCAGCAGCCGCGGUAAGACGUAGGGUCCAAGCGUUGUCCGGAUUUACUGGGCGUAAAGAGCAUGUAGGCGGUCUGUUAAGUGUGAAGCUAAAUCUCCGGGCUCAACCCGGAAACUAUUUCGCAUACUGGCAGACUUGAGGAAUGCAGAGGUAAGUGGAAUUCCUGGUGUAGCGGUGAAAUGCGUUGAUAUCAGGAGGAACACCCAUGGCGAAGGCAGCUUACUGGGCAUUAUCUGACGCUGAGACGCGAAAGCGUGGGUAGCAAACAGGAUUAGAUACCCCUGUAGUCC
This 292-nucleotide ribosomal RNA is filed under the name uncultured bacterium. Its description in RNAcentral is "partial 16S ribosomal RNA". It matches the Rfam family "Bacterial small subunit ribosomal RNA", at positions 505 to 796 of the family's 1533-position model. The record is from RNAcentral.